GAGAAGUUUGGCCAAUUGGUAGACCAUUUGAUUGUAAGUCAAAAUACUAUAAGUUCGAAUCUUAUACUUCUCA
This is a non-coding RNA of Massospora cicadina, 73 nucleotides long. The record is from the annotation of a GenBank genome assembly. NCBI's taxonomy places the organism in Eukaryota, Fungi, Entomophthoromycota, Entomophthoromycetes, Entomophthorales, Entomophthoraceae.